UCACAGGCGUGAGCCACCGCGCCCGUUCUGAACUGAUUUUUAUCUCCCCAGCCCCCCACUCAGCUGGAACUGACGGUGUGUGACCAACUGCAGCAGCCAGGGAACAAUGGCUCCGAGGAGAGAGAGUCACAACGUCCAGCGGUCAGUGUCCUUUGGUUUCCUCAGGGAACACGGGAGGCCAAGGACACUUAGCUUUGCCAGAUUCCUGGAACUCCAGCCCAGCCGGCCAUCCGAGUCCUCCGUCCGCUCACAAGGCUGUGCUGGAAACUAACCUGUCACGGUGGGACUGAGCCCGAGGGAGGUGCCACAAAGUGAAACUGGCUUCUGGAUCUGCCGGGUGAGAGUGAAAGUAAAGGUCACUUUUUGGUCCCCUGAGACCAAGACGCGACGGCAGCUCAUCCCUCAGCCCCGCAUCCUUCCUUCCGAGCCCCGGAUCACGCAGACCUUACAGGUAACUUGAAAGGCAUCUUCUGGGCAUUUUAGAUUACUAUCAAAGGCCCCAACUCUCUCUCUCUCCCUUAGAAAUACGGG
Molecule: long non-coding RNA, 531 nt
Organism: Lemur catta (Ring-tailed lemur)
Lineage: Eukaryota; Metazoa; Chordata; Mammalia; Primates; Lemuridae
Exons: 3
Source: RefSeq, a predicted model, not a curated record